CACCACCGCCUCCCCCUCCAUCCUCUACGUCAAAUAGGCUAACUUCGUUGGCACCUCCACCUCCACCGCCUCCGCCUCCAUCCUCUACAUCAAAUUGGCCAACUCCAUUGGCACCGCCACCGCCACCACCUCCACCGUCAAUCAAUUCUAAAAGGCCACCUGCACCUCCUGCACCUCCUUUGGGAGUUCCUAAGCAAGGUUCCACUCCACCAGCACCUCCACCAGCACCAAAGGCCCCUAAUGCUCCACCAUCAAGGCGGGGUUUUACACCCACUCCACCUCCACCGCCUGGGGGAAAGGGCCUUAAUG
RNAcentral lists this long non-coding RNA (309 nucleotides) under Capsicum annuum. RNAcentral describes it as "long non-coding RNA (CANN_LNC000343)". Lineage: Eukaryota; Viridiplantae; Streptophyta; Magnoliopsida; Solanales; Solanaceae. The record is from RNAcentral.